GGGGUGCUCGAGUGGCGAACGGGUGAGUAACACGUGAGUAACCUGCCCUCGACUUUGGGAUAACUUCAGGAAACUGGGGCUAAUACCGGAUAGGAGCUCCUGCUGCAUGGUGGGGGUUGGAAAGUUUCGGCGGUUGGGGAUGGACUCGCGGCUUAUCAGCUUGUUGGUGGGGUAGUGGCUUACCAAGGCUUUGACGGGUAGCCGGCCUGAGAGGGUGACCGGCCACAUUGGGACUGAGAUACGGCCCAG
RNAcentral lists this ribosomal RNA (249 nucleotides) under uncultured Actinomycetales bacterium. RNAcentral describes it as "partial 16S ribosomal RNA". It matches the Rfam family "Bacterial small subunit ribosomal RNA", at positions 84 to 334 of the family's 1533-position model. The record is from RNAcentral. Lineage: Bacteria; Bacillati; Actinomycetota; Actinomycetes; Actinomycetales.